UACGAAGGGGGCUAGCGUUGCUCGGAAUCACUGGGCGUAAAGGGUGCGUAGGCGGGGCUUUAAGUCUGGGGUGAAAUCCUGGAGCUCAACUCCAGAACUGCCUUUGAUACUGAAGAUCUUGAGUUCGGGAGAGGUGAGUGGAACUGCGAGUGUAGAGGUGAAAUUCGUAGAUAUUCGCAAGAACACCAGUGGCGAAGGCGGCUCACUGGCCCGAUACUGACGCUGAGGCACGAAAGCGUGGGGAGCAAACAGG
This 253-nucleotide ribosomal RNA is filed under the name uncultured bacterium. RNAcentral's name for it is "partial 16S ribosomal RNA". It matches the Rfam family "Bacterial small subunit ribosomal RNA", at positions 524 to 776 of the family's 1533-position model. The record is from RNAcentral.